RNAcentral lists this ribosomal RNA (253 nucleotides) under uncultured bacterium. RNAcentral's name for it is "partial 16S ribosomal RNA". It matches the Rfam family "Bacterial small subunit ribosomal RNA", at positions 524 to 776 of the family's 1533-position model. The record is from RNAcentral.
UACGUAGGCGGCGAGCGUUGUCCGAAUUUACUGGGCGUAAAGAGCGCGCAGGCGGUCGUACAAGUCGCGUGUGAAAGCCCCCGGCUCAACUGGGGAGGGUCACGCGAUACUGUUCGACUCGAAGGCAGGAGAGGGAAGCGGAAUUCCCGGUGUAGUGGUGAAAUGCGUAGAUAUCGGGAGGAACACCAGUGGCGAAGGCGACUUUCUGGCCUGUUCUUGACGCUGAGGCGCGAAAGCUAGGGGAGCAAACGGG